CAGGGUUUUUCAAAUCAAGAAUAUCUAAUAUACAGAAACAAUUUGGUAUAUGCAAUAACAGAAUUUCAGCUCAGAAUCAAACAACUAUUCAAACUAUUCAAUCAAAGAAACUAAUAUCAAGAGAAUGACUGCUAGUCAAUAUAAAUACUUUGAGAAAAAACAGAAUAAAUAAAAGAAAGACUAUCAAAACAUAUAGAAAAUAUUACUUACAGCAAAUAAAGGCAGAUAGCAUAAUCAAAAACACAAUAAAAUAUACACUUAAAACUAAAACUCAACUUCAAAACAAUCAAUAUAAAAUAUAAUAGAAGAAAAAUAUAAUAGAUAAAAAAUAAAAGAAAAAAUAAAAAUAAAAAUAAAAAAAUAAGGAAAAUUAAGCUUAAAAUUAAACAGAGUUUUGUAGCCA
RNAcentral lists this small RNA (403 nucleotides) under Histoplasma capsulatum var. duboisii H88. Its description in RNAcentral is "Histoplasma capsulatum H88 hypothetical RNA". Lineage: Eukaryota; Fungi; Ascomycota; Eurotiomycetes; Onygenales; Ajellomycetaceae. The record is from RNAcentral.